GACACCCCAGAGGCCGGACCUAGGCAACCCCAUCCUGGAGGUGCCGGGCCGGAGCUCCCAGAGUGCUGGGAGCGAGGCCUGGGCGGGGUCAGGUUCGGGUUCCCAGGGCAAAGCGGGGCUGCAGCCCAGGCGGCCGGAGCGGAACCCAGCCCUGCUCCGAGUGCCACGUCUCCAGGAACCCCCUCCUUACUCUAGGACACUCCGCCCCCGCCCGGGCCUCCGUCCCCCAAACCGCCCCCAUAUGUGCAGCGCCAGAUUCUCUGGACACAUCCCUAGGUGUCUCCAUCCUCAUCCUGUCCAUCCAGCUCCCACACCUCACGUCCCCAACCGGCUGCACCCCACUCCCCAGCCUGCGCCCCCAGAUCAGCAGCCUCCUCCCCUAGAUCCACCCGCCUGGUGAUGAGGCGCUCCCGCCUUCCUUCCGAGCUCCCGGUGUCGUCCGUGCGCCUCCCUUCCGCCCUGGCCUCCGGCGUCUGCCUUGCUCUCGCUGCCUCCCUUCUACACCACCCUUACCCUCCCAGCCCGGUGGAUCCCCUCGUCUCCCCCAAUCUCCAGGGCACUAGCUUUCCCUCGUCCUCUUCGCAGUUCAUCUCAGCUCAUCUCGCCAAUUCAAUGCCAUCAUCUCUCCUCACCACCUCUCCGUCGUACCCUGGAAUGUUUGCUGUCAGAUGUUCCCUGUGAAACCCACAAACCCUCGCGAUUUGGCCCCCUUGUUUUAUUUUGUGUAUUCCCACAACGUCUUGUUACUGCCCCCUAUUACCACACUUAUAACUCA
Molecule: long non-coding RNA, 775 nt
Organism: Sapajus apella (tufted capuchin)
Lineage: Eukaryota; Metazoa; Chordata; Mammalia; Primates; Cebidae
Exons: 2
Source: RefSeq, a predicted model, not a curated record